Molecule: ribosomal RNA, 459 nt
Filed under: uncultured bacterium
Lineage: Bacteria
Description: partial 16S ribosomal RNA
Rfam family: Bacterial small subunit ribosomal RNA
Source: RNAcentral
CCUACGUGGGGCAGCAGUGAGGAAUAUUGGUCAAUGGGCGCGAGCCUGAACCAGCCAAGUCGCGUGAGGGAAGACGGUCCUAUGGAUUGUAAACCUCUUUUGUCGGGGAGCAAAAGACGCCACGCGUGGCGUUCCGAGAGUACCCGAAGAAAAAGCAUCGGCUAACUCCGUGCCAGCAGCCGCGGUAAUACGGGGGAUGCGAGCGUUAUCCGGAUUUAUUGGGUUUAAAGGGUGCGCAGGCGGAAGAUCAAGUCAGCGGUAAAAUUGAGAGGCUCAACCCCUUCGAGCCGUUGAAACUGGUUUUCUUGAGUGAGUGAGAAGGAUGCGGAAUGCGUGGUGUAGCGGUGAAAUGCAUAGAUAUCACGCAGAACUCCGAUUGCGAAGGCAGCAUACCGGCGCUCAACUGACGCUCAUGCACGAAAGUGUGGGUAUCGAACAGGAUUAGAUACCCCAGUAGUC